This is a long non-coding RNA of Ziziphus jujuba (common jujube), 755 nucleotides long. RefSeq lists it as uncharacterized. The transcript is spliced from 4 exons. The record is from RefSeq and is a predicted model, not a curated record. NCBI's taxonomy places the organism in Eukaryota, Viridiplantae, Streptophyta, Magnoliopsida, Rosales, Rhamnaceae.
GAUACAUCUAUUUUUUUUAUUUUAUUUUUUGUAUUUUUCCCCUUUCUUUUUCGAUUUUGAAGGCUAUCGUCCUCUCUUCUCCAAAUGAGUUUUUCUUUUUUUGUCAGUUUUCUGAAGAGAUCCAGUUUGUGUUUCAGCGAUUCUUCUCUUGAUUCUGUUUCAUUUUUAUUGCUUCUGCCGAUGAUCUUUUUCUGGAAGGAAGAAGUGGAAGUAGAAUAUAAUUCUUUUCUAUCAAGCAGGAAUUCGUCCACACCCAGAUGACAAAAAGCAAAGGCUGAAGAAACUGGAUCUCAAUCCGCGGCAGGUCUAAGUUCUGGUUCCAAAUCUGAUGAAUCCAGAUGAAGGGGGAAAUCUUUUGAAGAAUCUGAAAAUAGUCUAUGAAGAGAAGUCAAGACGUCAAUGCUGAUUCUCCAAUUGUUUCUGAGUUUGAUUAUGUUUCUGAAUUGAAGUGACAUAAUUGUUUUCUACCAAGGUGUGCCAUCUUCUACAAAAUGCAAAUGAAGAAUUGAAAAACUGCAGAGAGAGCCUUGUAGAGUGUUAAUUUGAUUGUAUUGUGUACAAUCGUAGAAUAUUUUUUUGUUUUAUUUUGGUAGAAACAAUUGUAGAAUAAUUGUAAAUAUAAAAGAUGAAGAUUCUUGUGGGUUUGGGAGGAAGAAGACUGCCGGGAUUACCAGGUCUCUUCCUCUCUCUCUGCUGUGGGUGUGAUGUGGUGUGUGUCCCCGUCUCUUUCUCUCUUUCACUUCUCCAAUUUUUCA